UCCGGUGGCGAUAGCGAGGAGGCCACACCUGUUCCCAUCCCGAACACAGAAGUUAAGCUCCUUAGCGCCGAUGGUACUGCACAUUUCUUGUGUGGGAGAGUAGGACGCCGCCGGAU
Molecule: ribosomal RNA, 116 nt
Filed under: Dethiosulfatarculus sandiegensis
Lineage: Bacteria; Pseudomonadati; Thermodesulfobacteriota; Desulfarculia; Desulfarculales; Desulfarculaceae
Source: RNAcentral